AUUCCAGCUCCAAUAGCGUAUAUUAAAGUUGUUGCAGUUAAAAAGCUCGUAGUCGGAUUUUGGCAUCACGCCGAACUGUCUGCCGAUUGGUAAGUACGGUUUGGCGGGUGCUUCCUUCCGGAGGCUCGUUCCCUUCUUCAUUGAAGGGUUCGUUGGUUCCGGGUCUUUUACUUUGAGAAAAUUAGAGUGUUCAAAGCAGGCCUAUGCUCUGAAUAGGUUAGCAUGGAAUAAUAGAAUAGGACUUUGGUUCUAUUUUGUUGGUUUCUAGUACUGAAGUAAUGAUUGAUAGGGAUAGUUGGGGGUGCUAGUAUUGGGCGGCCAGAGGUGAAAUUCUUGGAUUCGCUCAAGACUAACUUAUGCGAAAGCAUUCACCAAGGAUGUCUUCAUUG
This 389-nucleotide ribosomal RNA is filed under the name Picozoa sp. RNAcentral's name for it is "partial small subunit ribosomal RNA". It matches the Rfam family "Eukaryotic small subunit ribosomal RNA", at positions 582 to 975 of the family's 1831-position model. The record is from RNAcentral. Lineage: Eukaryota; Picozoa.